This 439-nucleotide ribosomal RNA is filed under the name uncultured bacterium. RNAcentral describes it as "bacterial SSU rRNA". It matches the Rfam family "Bacterial small subunit ribosomal RNA", at positions 958 to 1398 of the family's 1533-position model. The record is from RNAcentral.
AACGCGAAGAACCUUACCCAGACUUGACAUGCAGAAGACAGCAGUAGAGAUACUGCCUCCCUUCGGGGCUUCUGCACAGGUGCUGCAUGGCUGUCGUCAGCUCGUGCCGUGAGGUGUUGGGUUAAGUCCCGCAACGAGCGCAACCCUUAUCAUUAGUUGCCAACACGUAAAGGUGGGAACUCUAGUGAGACUGCCUGGGUUAACCAGGAGGAAGGUGAGGAUGACGUCAAGUCCGCAUGGCCCUUAUGUCUGGGGCUACACACGUGCUACAAUGGACGGUACAAAAGGUAGCGAAGCCGCGAGGUGGAGCAAAUCCCUAAAACCGUUCUCAGUUCAGAUUGUAGUCUGCAACUCGGCUACAUGAAGUUGGAAUUGCUAGUAAUGGCGGGUCAGCAACACCGCCGUGAAUACGUUCCCGGGCCUUGUACACACCGGAGUA